Molecule: ribosomal RNA, 487 nt
Filed under: Escherichia coli
Lineage: Bacteria; Pseudomonadati; Pseudomonadota; Gammaproteobacteria; Enterobacterales; Enterobacteriaceae
Description: partial 23S ribosomal RNA
Rfam family: Bacterial large subunit ribosomal RNA
Source: RNAcentral
GUUAAGCGACUAAGCGUACACGGUGGAUGCCCUGGCAGUCAGAGGCGAUGAAGGACGUGCUAAUCUGCGAUAAGCGUCGGUAAGGUGAUAUGAACCGUUAUAACCGGCGAUUUCCGAAUGGGGAAACCCAGUGUGAUUCGUCACACUAUCAUUAACUGAAUCCAUAGGUUAAUGAGGCGAACCGGGGGAACUGAAACAUCUAAGUACCCCGAGGAAAAGAAAUCAACCGAGAUUCCCCCAGUAGCGGCGAGCGAACGGGGAGCAGCCCAGAGCCUGAAUCAGUGUGUGUGUUAGUGGAAGCGUCUGGAAAGGCGCGCGAUACAGGGUGACAGCCCCGUACACAAAAAUGCACAUACUGUGAGCUCGAUGAGUAGGGCGGGACACGUGGUAUCCUGUCUGAAUAUGGGGGGACCAUCCUCCAAGGCUAAAUACUCCUGACUGACCGAUAGUGAACCAGUACCGUGAGGGAAAGGCGAAAAGAACCCCG